AAUUUCAAUCUGGUAAACAUAUGCUGGCACUUGAAGCAAUAUUUUUGGCGCGUCACCAAGCGGUUGGUUGAUAGUUUACUAUAACUUUGGACAUUGGGUAACAACGAGGGACGAAAAUAAUCUUCUAACGAGAUUCAUCGAAGAAUAUAGAAGUGAAGGAAACUUAAAUAACGAUAUGAAAUAAACACUUAUUAAUAACGGG
This is a long non-coding RNA of Bombus pyrosoma, 202 nucleotides long. RefSeq lists it as uncharacterized. The record is from RefSeq and is a predicted model, not a curated record. The transcript has 2 exons. Lineage: Eukaryota; Metazoa; Arthropoda; Insecta; Hymenoptera; Apidae.